AAACUCCAAACCUGAUCAUAACUCCAAGCACUGAUUUAGUAUCAAUCUUUUGAACACAAAAUCAAUAUUCCACAAAAGAAUGAUGUCACCGUCUAUGCUAGCUGUUUUGUGUUUAUUCCUGCUUGCAAGUCAAGGAAGCACACAAACAUAUGAAGAAUGUAUGGCGGCAUGUGAUGUCAACUAUUUAGCCUGCAUUGCUAAUUGCUCGGGCGAUCAGUGCCAGCUAUGUAAAGAUGCAUACGAUGAAUGCAAAGAUAAAUGUCAGCCAUAGCAAUGAUUGAGCAGACAUCAUCUAGUUUCCUGUUAUCCUAAUUCAAAUCUUAAUGUAUUGAAAGACUCUCUUGAGGAUGGAAAACAAUGAAAUGGAUAAAUAUUAUAAACAAUUAUAGUAUAACAUAACUAGUAAAAUAAUAGAUUGAUAAGGUGAUAAUGUGAAAUUCUAAAAUAUACAUAUAAAAUAGUCAAAGAUUUCAUGGGUGUAUUAUAAAAUAUCUUACUUCAAAUGUACAAAAUAUUAGUUAUUUCUUCUAAAUGUUAGACGACAUUGCAUUAAACUAUCAUUUUAACUUCAAGAAAGAACCAGCUUUGCUCCU
Molecule: long non-coding RNA, 593 nt
Organism: Exaiptasia diaphana
Lineage: Eukaryota; Metazoa; Cnidaria; Anthozoa; Actiniaria; Aiptasiidae
Exons: 3
Source: RefSeq, a predicted model, not a curated record